RNAcentral lists this ribosomal RNA (255 nucleotides) under uncultured bacterium. Its description in RNAcentral is "partial 16S ribosomal RNA". It matches the Rfam family "Bacterial small subunit ribosomal RNA", at positions 524 to 776 of the family's 1533-position model. The record is from RNAcentral.
UACGAAGGGGGCUAGCGUUGCUCGGAUUGACUGGGCGUAAAGGGCGCGUAGGCGGUUCGUACAGUCAGACGUGAAAUUCCUGGGCUCAACCUGGGGGCUGCGUUUGAUACGUGCGGACUUGAGUGCGGAAGAGGGUCGUGGAAUUCCGGGGUGUAGUGGUGAAAUGCGUAGAGAUGUGGAGGAACACCAGUGGCGAAGGCGACUCUUUGGCCUGUAACUGACGCUGAGGCGCGAAAGCGUGGGGGAGCAAACAGG